Small nucleolar RNA from Rhinichthys klamathensis goyatoka, 87 nucleotides. RefSeq annotates it as small nucleolar RNA SNORD35. Lineage: Eukaryota; Metazoa; Chordata; Actinopteri; Cypriniformes; Leuciscidae. The transcript has a single exon. The record is from RefSeq and is a predicted model, not a curated record.
UGCAAAUGAUGAUAACUAUCACGACGGUCUUCCAAGUCUGUGAGGCUCUGACGACACUGCCUUAUGGCAUUUCUCUGAUGCAGCAUG